Mus musculus (house mouse) is the source of this 4124-nucleotide long non-coding RNA. RefSeq annotates it as predicted gene, 53861. The transcript is spliced from 2 exons. The record is from RefSeq and is a predicted model, not a curated record. Lineage: Eukaryota; Metazoa; Chordata; Mammalia; Rodentia; Muridae.
GGUGUCUUAUUACAAACGGCAACACAAAACUCCUUUCUGUGUUUGUGUGUGUGUGUGUGUGUGUGUGUGUGUGUGUGUGUGUGUGUGUUUUGUUUUGAGACCUUUUUUUUGGUAUUUUGAGACUGUAUGCGCUUUGUAAGAACUUUUAUGUUCAGGAAAACUGAGCUGAAGGUACAGUUCCCACCUGCCCCCUGCACGAUCCUACACACUGUCUCCACUCAUUUCAAGGACCAGGGAACACAAUUAUCUAACGAGGGAGUUGUUUCUGCUAGUAGGCAAUCCACAGCCGCGCUGCAAUGUUAACAGGACCUUGGACCCCGAGGGUCCUGUGAGCUGGUUUAUUUGGACUUCCUACAUUUCCUAAUAUGGACACAGUCUUUUGUCUAAAGAGUAAGACUUUCUUUUAAAAGAAAAAAAAAAGGAAUUCUCAGUUUCAUUUUACUGCCAUUUCUAAUAAAAUAUAUUAGUGAAAACUACUAUUUACUGAUCAGCAUAUACGUAAAAUUCAGUCUAGCACAUUAACAACCUGUAGAGUUUCAAUGAGAUAAAGCAAUACAUUCAAAGAUAAUUUAAAAGUCACCAUCUCCUUUAAAAUGUGGAAAGACAAGAUUUCACAGGAAAAAAAGCUGAACAGCUGUUCUCUUUUGAGACAGUCUUCCUCUUGUAGCCCAGACAGUCCUAGAACUCACGGCAAUUCUCCUGUCUCAGCCUCCUCACUGCUCAAGUUACAGCUGUGAUCUACCACACCCAAGGUGAGCAGCUCUUUGCAAAGCUCACUGUUACCAUGCCCCACAAAUUGCUUCGCAGCAUUUCUCAACUUAUGGGUCCUGACCCCUUUGGGAGUCAAUGACCCUUUCACAGGAGUUGCUGAACACCGUUGAAAAAGCAGAGAUUUACAUUUACAAUUCCUAACCGUAGAAAAAUUACAGUUAUGAAAUAGCGAAAUAAUGUUAUGGUUGGGGGUCAGCACAACAUGAGGAGCUGUAUUAAAGGGUCACAACAUUAGGAAGGUCGGGACCCACUGGUCUAGCGUCUGCUCUCAAGGUAUGCAAAGGGACAAUGGCCCUGGGUUUGAAGAACAGGCUUAGGGGAGCACUCUCCACCCCAACACCCGAAACAGACAAGCAGCAGGUCUUGUCCGCAGCACUUCUGUUUCGUUUCUGUUUCAGCAUGUCACCUUAAACAACAGGUCCCUAGAAUGACCAAGAAGAAUCCUAAUGAGGACAGGACUGCUCUCUGAGUGGAAAGUUCUCAUGGCCGGGGACUCCCAGUAUGUCACAGCUACUGUCCCUAGAGUCUCCCAGCUUUUCACUGCUGCCUGAAGCUAUGUACACACCCUUAACUCUCCAGUGAGGGCAACAGGGCUCAAAGGGCUGAAUUCAGGGCAAGGGUACAGACGACUCCCACCCAGACUGGGGCUCCAGGCUCCAGCUGACAGCUACCAGGUCCACCCCUGCCAGUCCUGCCCUUGUUCUUAAUAAGCCAGGUUUGUUUAAGAUGGGUAACUCAGAACCUCAGAACCCAUGAACCUCAGACUUGGACAUUGAGAAGGUUAACGUUAAUAACUAUUAACGUAUUAGGCACUGCAUGCCAAACACAACACAAACAUUACCUUUAACCUUUUCUAAAUGUUUAAGGAUGGUAUACAGGCUACAGUCCAUGCUGUCACACAGGGAGCAGGGAUCAUACUUUUUAGUGUUUUAGAAAACAAAAACCACAAGCCUGGAUUAGGACCCCAGGAUUCCUUAGCAACUAUUCUUAAGCAACACAGCCGAAUGAAUAUAUAAACCAAAUGAGGCAAAUGAAGCCUCGCUCUCAAUCAAAUCAGGCUCUGCUGCCAAAUAAUGUUCAGUUAGCUACCAAUACUUGGGAAGCUGAGGUGAAAGAUGAAGAAGUUAGAGAAGCGAUCUAGGCUAAACUCCAAGGCCUUCUAGCAUAAAGGAAACCAACAAAAAGAAACAAAACCCCUUUCAUUCCCAGCCUGGAGCUGGCAGGUUUUGACUAAGGCCCCGUAGCUCUGUACUAUCUUACAGAUGAUCAAGAAACACAGAUACUAAGUUGCUGACCAGAACAUGCAUAGCUAAGUAGUAAGAGUCAGUACUGACACAAGUCAGAUCUCCUCAGAAAAGGUCGGCUUCUUCCAUUUGGUGACCUGAGUAAUGCCACACAACUUGCAUGAGGGGCAAUGCACUGAGAUGUGCUAAUACGCUCAGUAAAAGACAAACUAUUUGAACUUUAAAAAAAAAAGUCUCACUGCCUAGUCAAAUAUCUGCCUGCCUGUUCAAAGAUUAAAAGCCUUGCACUAGGUCGAAACCACUGUCUCCUGCGUGAGAUACGUUUCAACCCGGAGCUCCGCCAUUAAACUACCUCGUGUUUUUGGUCAUCUGUUCAUGAUUCUUGGGUGCACGCUGGAUCGGGAAAUGAGUGGGGAUUUCCCCACUAGGUUCUUUCAUUUGGAGGUUCUACCAAGACCUACAUGACACCCAGGAACCCCAAAAGACUCCUUGGAGGGCAGCCCCGCCCUAAGCUGCUAACCAGCGAGGGAGACAUCUGCCCACUUAAAACUUCUGUCCCAGGUAAGGAGCACCUACGAGUAUAAUCACCAGGCUCUGACAAAUGUGUAUAGAGGUCCAGAAAAAGGUGAGCUUAGACUGUAAGGAAGAGCAAAGCUUCAGCAGACUCAGGAGAGAUAGAUGACAGUGAAAGUAGAGAUGAAAGAGAUUAGAGAGGUCCGAGAUGAUACCCCGAAUGAGAAAUAUUUAGAGUAGAACGAGUAAGAGGCAGAGAAGGCGUAUUACAAGAGAAGAGAGAGGGGGGGGGGCAAGAGGCAGAAUAAAGAGAAAGCCGGAGGGAUCGUAGACAAGAAAGAAAUUUGACUAGAAACUUGGCCACAGUGGUAGGAGAGAAAGAAAAGACAGGAUCUAGACAGGAAACCUGGGCAACUGAAGACCGAGCCUCAGCUAAAGAGGCUCAGCUGUGUCAGACUGAAGUUACUUAUUUGGGAUAUACCCUUCGAGAUGGGAAGCAGUGGCUAAAGAAAGCCAGAAAAAAGACUGUAACUCAGAUCCCCAACCCAACUACACCAAGGCAAGUAAAAGAAUUCUUGGGCACCUCUGGCUUCUACAGACUCUAGAUACCUGGGUUGGUGACCUUAGCUGCCCUGUUGUACCCCCUAACCAAGGAAGGGAAGGUGUUUGUGUGGACCCCAGAUCACCAGAAAGCCUUUGAAGAAAUUAAAAAGGCCCUACUGACGGCCAGUCUUGGUCUUUGCCUGACCCAACCAAGCCCUUCACUCUUUAUGUGGAAGAGAGAGCAGGGGUCGCCAGAGGAGUCCUUGCUCAGACUUUGGGACCUUAAAAAAGGCCAGUGGCUGGGCUGGUGAGAUGGCUCAGUGGGUAAGAGCACCCGACUGCUUUUCCAAAGGUCCAGAAUUCAAAUCCCAGCAACCACAUGGUGGCUCACAACCAUCUGUAACAAGAUCUGACGCCCUCUUCUGGAGUGUCUGAAGACAGCUACAGUGUACUUACAUAUAAUAAUAAAUAAAAAUCUUUAAAAAAAAAAAAAGGCCAGUGGCUUACCUAUCCAAGAAGUUACACCCUGUGGUUUUCUUGCCUGAAAGCUAUUGCUGCCAUAACUCUGCUUGUCAAGGAUGCUGAUAAGCUCACUCUGGGACAGCAAAUAACUGUAGUGGCACCCCACGCUCUUAAAAGCAUUAUCCGACAGCCCCCUGACCGAUGGAUGAUUGAACGAGUGACUUUCACUCCUGCUGUCCUCACUCCCACUACCCUACUGCCCGAGACUUCACCUACUCAUCAUUGUGCUGACAUUCUGGCAGAAGAAACUGGUACUCGAAAUGAUCUAAAGGAUCAGAUCAGCCUUGGCCUGAGAGUUCGAGCUGGUACACGGAUGGCAGUAGCCUUGCGGUUGAAGGACUGAGACGGCCAAUGUGAUAGCCAAGAGGAUCCUAGAAGAAAUCUUCCCGAGGUUUGAGAUACCCAAGGUAAUCAGGGCAAUAAUGGACCUGCCUUUGUUGCCCAGGUAAAUCAGGGACUGGCCAAGAUAUUGGGGAUUGAUUAGAAAUUACAUUGUGCAUACAGGCUCCAAAGCUAAGGACAGGUAAAAAA